CCUACGGGCGGCAGCAGUCGAGAAUCAUUCACAAUGGGGGAAACCCUGAUGGUGCGACGCCGCGUGGGGGAAUGAAGGUCUUCGGAUUGUAAACCCCUGUCAUGUGGGAGCAAAUUAAAAAGAUAGUACCACAAGAGGAAGAGACGGCUAACUCUGUGCCAGCAGCCGCGGUAAUACAGAGGUCUCAAGCGUUGUUCGGAAUCACUGGGGGUAAAGCGUGCGUAGGCUGUUUCGUAAGUCUUGUGUGAAAGGAGCGGGCUCAACCCGGGGACGGCACAUGAUACUGCGAGACUAGAGUAAUGGAGGGGGAAACGGAAUUCUCGGUGUAGCAGUGAAAUGCGUAGAUAUCGAGAGGAACACUCGUGGCGAAGGCGGAUUCCUGGACAUUAACUGACGCUGAGGCACGAAGGCCAGGGGAGCGAAAGGGAUUAGAUACCCCGAGUAGUC
This 447-nucleotide ribosomal RNA is filed under the name uncultured bacterium. RNAcentral describes it as "partial 16S ribosomal RNA". It matches the Rfam family "Bacterial small subunit ribosomal RNA", at positions 338 to 795 of the family's 1533-position model. The record is from RNAcentral.